RNAcentral lists this non-coding RNA (31 nucleotides) under Homo sapiens (human). Lineage: Eukaryota; Metazoa; Chordata; Mammalia; Primates; Hominidae. The record is from RNAcentral.
UGUGGAAGACAGUAUGGUGAUUCCUCAAGGA